CCUUCGAUAGCUCAGUUGGUAGAGCGGUGGACUGUAGUGAAUCGUUACUAAUUGGCAGAUAUCCAUAGGUCGCUGGUUCAAAUCCGGCUCGAAGGA
Non-coding RNA from Aedes albopictus (Asian tiger mosquito), 96 nucleotides. The record is from Rfam. Lineage: Eukaryota; Metazoa; Arthropoda; Insecta; Diptera; Culicidae.